RNAcentral lists this ribosomal RNA (406 nucleotides) under uncultured bacterium. RNAcentral's name for it is "partial 16S ribosomal RNA". It matches the Rfam family "Bacterial small subunit ribosomal RNA", at positions 30 to 526 of the family's 1533-position model. The record is from RNAcentral.
AUUGAACGCUGGCGGCAGGCCUAACACAUGCAAGUCGAACGAGUGGCGGACGGGUGAGUAAUGUCUGGGAAACUGCCCGAUGGAGGGGGAUAACUACUGGAAACGGUCGCUAAUACCGCAUACCCUCGGAUGUGCCCAGAUGGGAUUAGCUAGUAGGUGGUGUAACGGCGCACCUAGGCGACGAUCCCUAGCUGGUCUGCGAGGAUGCCCAGCAACACUGGAACGGUGACACGGUCCAGACUCCUACGGGAGGCAGCAGUGGGGAAUAUUGCACAAUGGGCGCAAGCCGGAUGCAGCCAUGCCGCUGGUAUGAAGAAGGCCUUCGGGUUGUAAAGUACUUUCAGCGAGGAGGCGUUACUCGCAGAAGAAGCACCGGCUAACUCCGUGCCAGCAGCCGCGGUAAUUC